Molecule: ribosomal RNA, 466 nt
Filed under: uncultured bacterium
Lineage: Bacteria
Description: bacterial SSU rRNA
Rfam family: Bacterial small subunit ribosomal RNA
Source: RNAcentral
CCCCAGACUCCUACGGGAGGCAGCAGUGAGGAAUAUUGGUCAAUGGGCGAGAGCCUGAACCAGCCAAGUCGCGUGAAGGAUGACGGCCCUACGGGUUGUAAACCUCUUUUGUCAGGGAGCAAUUGGCGCUACGUGUAGCGUUAUCGAGAGUACCUGAAGAAAAAGCAUCGGCUAACUCCGUGCCAGCAGCCGCGGUAAUACGGAGGAUGCGAGCGUUAUCCGGAUUUAUUGGGUUUAAAGGGUGCGUAGGCGGAAUGCCAAGUCAGCGGUAAAAUCGCGGGGCUCAACCUCGCUCCGCCGUUGAAACUGGCGUUCUUGAGUGGGCGAGAAGUAUGCGGAAUGCGUGGUGUAGCGGUGAAAUGCAUAGAUAUCACGCAGAACUCCGAUUGCGAAGGCAGCAUACCGGCGCCCAACUGACGCUGAAGCACGAAAGCGUGGGUAUCGAACAGGAUUAGAUACCCUCGUA